Molecule: non-coding RNA, 432 nt
Organism: Prunus avium (sweet cherry)
Lineage: Eukaryota; Viridiplantae; Streptophyta; Magnoliopsida; Rosales; Rosaceae
Source: RefSeq, a predicted model, not a curated record
UGAAGAGUGGUUGGUGCAAAUGGAUUCACCAUCGAGAGAGCCGUUGAUAGAAGUGGGUUCCAAAAUACAUCAACGACUAGCUUGAAUGAACUAAUUGUCACCUAAAAUUCACAAGACGAAUGUGACAAGCACCAACCAAGCAACCCUAAUCAUCAAGCAAAGGGGACGUAGAACUUAAUCUUUUUCAUAGAUACACUAAUUCCUAGCCAUAUUUGACUAUAUGUAGUGUAGGGUAUGCCUUCUCUCUUGGGGUUGCCGCUGGAGAGCCAUAGUUUCAAAUGGAACCAGAUCAGCCAUGCUAGGAGGUGAACAGCUUUCGUCUGAUCAGCAAGAUACAGGAAGUUGCACAAAGCCUGUCCACAAAGUGCUCUAUCUUUUUGUAAUUGUUGCAUGGACUUACGAGACCCUGCUGUAAUUAGCCAUGGACAGCGA